This 644-nucleotide ribosomal RNA is filed under the name uncultured bacterium. RNAcentral's name for it is "bacterial SSU rRNA". It matches the Rfam family "Bacterial small subunit ribosomal RNA", at positions 54 to 745 of the family's 1533-position model. The record is from RNAcentral.
CAUGCAAGUCGAACGAACCUUCGGGUUAGUGGCGGACGGGUGAGUAACGCGUGAGAAUCUGCCCUCAGGAGGGGGAUAACAGUUGGAAACGACUGCUAAUACCCCAUAUGCCGAGAGGUGAAAUGAAUUUCGCCUGGGGAUGAGCUCGCGUCUGAUUAGCUUGUUGGUGGGGUAAUAGCCUACCAAGGCUUCGAUCAGUAGCUGGUCUGAGAGGACGAUCAGCCACACUGGGACUGAGACACGGCCCAGACCCCUACGGGAGGCAGCAGUGGGGAAUUUUCCGCAAUGGGCGAAAGCCUGACGGAGCAACGCCGCGUGAGGGAUGGAGGCCUUUGGGCUGUAAACCUCUUUUCUCAAGGAAGAAGAUCUGACGGUACUUGAGGAAUAAGCCACGGCUAAUUCCGUGCCAGCAGCCGCGGUAAUACGGGAGUGGCAAGCGUUAUCCGGAAUUAUUGGGCGUAAAGCGUCCGCAGGCGGCCGUUUAAGUCUGUUGUUAAAUCGUGGAGCUCAACUCCAUCACGGCAAUGGAAACUGUUCGGCUUGAGUAUGGUAGGGGCAGAGGGAAUUUCCGGUGUAGCGGUGAAAUGCGUAGAUAUCGGGAAGAACACCAGUGGCGAAAGCGCUCUGCUGGGCCAUUACUGACG